CCAAGUUUACAUUUCCAGUGACUGAGGAUGACCAAAAUAAAAGACAUGAAUGGAAUCAGUUGGUCUUGAAGUUCUGAACGGAACUCUGGUACAAAGUUAUUUUGGAGUCAGAACCAACAGAUCUCUAAUAUUCCUUGGGUCUGAAAAUUGCAGCAACUGGUGAGACAGAAGGUCUCAUGGCAGAAUGGAAGACUUUACUGCAGCCAAAUCUUUGGAUAUUGGGCCCAUCUAUUUCUUUGAUCAGAUGAAACCAAAAA
Puma concolor (puma) is the source of this 257-nucleotide non-coding RNA. The record is from RefSeq and is a predicted model, not a curated record. NCBI's taxonomy places the organism in Eukaryota, Metazoa, Chordata, Mammalia, Carnivora, Felidae.